This 451-nucleotide ribosomal RNA is filed under the name uncultured Hyphomicrobium sp. RNAcentral describes it as "bacterial SSU rRNA". It matches the Rfam family "Bacterial small subunit ribosomal RNA", at positions 8 to 507 of the family's 1533-position model. The record is from RNAcentral. Lineage: Bacteria; Pseudomonadati; Pseudomonadota; Alphaproteobacteria; Hyphomicrobiales; Hyphomicrobiaceae.
AGAGUUUGAUCCUGGCUCAGAACGAACGCUGGCGGCAGGCCUAACACAUGCAAGUCGAGCGCCCCGCAAGGGGAGCGGCAGACGGGUGAGUAACACGUGGGAACCUUCCCUAUAGUACGGAAUAGCCCAGGGAAACUUGGAGUAAUACCGUAUACGCCCGAAAGGGGAAAGAUUUAUCGCUAUAGGAUGGGCCCGCGUAGGAUUAGCUAGUUGGUGAGGUAAUGGCUCACCAAGGCGACGAUCCUUAGCUGGUUUGAGAGAACGACCAGCCACACUGGGACUGAGACACGGCCCAGACUCCUACGGGAGGCAGCAGUGGGGAAUAUUGGACAAUGGGCGCAAGCCUGAUCCAGCCAUGCCGCGUGAGUGAUGAAGGCCUUAGGGUUGUAAAGCUCUUUUGCCGGGGACGAUAAUGACGGUACCCGGAGAAUAAGUCCCGGCUAACUUCGUG